GCUCGCGAGUAGCUGGGACUACAGGCUCCAGCCACCACGCCUGGCUAAUUUUUUGUAUUUUUAGUAGAGACGGGGUUUCACCGUGUUAGCCAGGAUGGUCUCUAUCUCCUGACCUCAUGAUCCACCCGCCUCGGCCUCCUAAAGUGCUGGGAUUACAGGCGUGAGCCACGGCGCCCCGCCUGCUUUUCUCCUUUCUGGCUACAUUGUGAAUGUGAGAGCUGGAGCGUGAAUACGCACCUUAGACUAUGAGUGGAAACCAUGUGCUAAGGAUGAUAGAGCCAAAGAUAAGAGCCCGGUUUCCUGGCAUCGUGGGACGGCGCGUCACCUCUAGAGAGACUACUACCUCCCUAGAGAGAUUUUUAACGACAUCAAGGGCUCCAGACAUUGAGAAAUUUUCCCUUUAAGUUGCGAUGGGAAUCCAGAAAACGCCAUAUGGACCCCUCUAUGCUGUGAAAUACUUCAGUACUCAGGAGAAGUCACGUUCUGGUUGCUGCAAGCGUGUGAUACCCUGUCAUUAAAAUAAGAAAUAGAUUGUUAU
This 538-nucleotide long non-coding RNA is filed under the name Homo sapiens (human). RNAcentral's name for it is "HSALNT0160379". Lineage: Eukaryota; Metazoa; Chordata; Mammalia; Primates; Hominidae. The record is from RNAcentral.